Molecule: small RNA, 127 nt
Filed under: Marmota monax (woodchuck)
Lineage: Eukaryota; Metazoa; Chordata; Mammalia; Rodentia; Sciuridae
Source: RNAcentral
GCUGGGCUCUGUGGCGCAUGCCUGUAAUUCCAGCAGCUUGGGAGGCUGAGGCAGGAGGAUCGCCAGUUCAAAGCCAGCCUCAGCAAUUUAGUGAGGCCCUAAGCAAUUUAGUGAGACCCUGUCUCAA